Molecule: ribosomal RNA, 987 nt
Filed under: Triticum aestivum (bread wheat)
Lineage: Eukaryota; Viridiplantae; Streptophyta; Magnoliopsida; Poales; Poaceae
Description: partial small subunit ribosomal RNA
Source: RNAcentral
AUGGGCCAGGACGAGCUUUCAUGCAUGGUGGAUGAUUUCUACAAUCGCUUGUUGGGUGAGACCCCGCUGCGGGCGCAGGCUCUUAACCUGGACGUCCUGAACCUGCCUCAUAGAGACCUGACACACCUUGAGGUGCCCUUCACGGAGGAGGAGAUUGAGCAAGUAAUCAAAUCUAUGCCCAUGGACAAGGCGCCGGGGCCGGACGGCUUCACCGGUAGGUUCUAUGCUUCCUGCCGGCACAUAAUCAAAGGCGACAUCAUGCGCGCCAUGGGCCUCUUCCACCAAGGUGACAUGCGGGGACUGCCGGCGAUCAACAAAGCCAUUGUUACUCUACUUCCCAAGAUCGAUGCAGCGGUGGAUCUAAAGGACUUCCGGCCGGUCAGCCUCAUGCACGGGGCGAUAAAGGUCUUCGACAGGGCAAUGGCUGUCAGGUUGGCCUCCGAUCUGCCCACGCUUGUUGGCAUACACCAGAGUGCUUUCAUCAGGGGACGGUCGAUCCACGACAACUUCAUGCUGGUCCAAUGCAUGGCACGCCGGCUCCACGCCCUUCGGGAGCCCACGAUCAUGCUUAAACUUGACAUCACGAAAGCAUUCGACACGGUCCAAUGGCCUUUUCUCCUGGAGGUGAUGCGGGCGAUGGGUUUUGGUGCGCGGUGGAUCGAGUGGGUUUGUGGACUCCUGGCUACAUCCUCUACGCGAGUUAUGGUAAAUGGAUACCCUGGCAGGCCCAUAUACAAUGCAAGGGCCAUGAGGCAAGGCGCGCCUCUCUCGCCGAUGCUCUUCAUCUUGGCUAUGGAGCCGCUGCACAAAAUGUUCCAACUGGCGGCAUCCCGUGCUCUCCUGAUUCCGCUGGCCAGAUCGGGGAUGCAACAGCGGCUAUCGCUGUUUGCUGACGAUGUGAUGCUUUUUAUCAAACCGCUCGAAGCGGAUCUUCGUACAGUGCCUGGAUCCUUCAGUGCUUUGGCGACGCAUCGGGCCUUAGAGUGA